GUUAAACAUAAAGAGCGUAGGGUGGAUGCCUAGGCACUGACAGCCGAAGAAAGACGUGACAAGCUGCGAAAAGCUGCGGGGAGAAGCACAUAUUCAGUGAUCCGCAGAUGUCUGAAUGGGGAAACCCACUUGGAAGAACUCCAAGUAUCUGUACGCCAAUACAUAACGUACAGAGGGGAACCCGGUGAACUGAAACAUCUAAGUAGCCGGAGGAAAAGAAAACAACAGUGAUUGCGAAAGUAGCGGCGAGCGAAAUCGUAAGAGCCCAAACCGUGGUGCGUGCACUGCGGGGUAGAGGACUGCAACACGAGUAAGAUAUAUUACCUGAACCGUUUUGGAAAAGCGGGCCAAAGAGCGUGAGAGCCGUGUAAGGGAAAAUGUAUUGAAUCCAGCAGUAUCCGGAGUACCACGAGACACGAGAAACCUUGUGGGAAGCAGGGGGGACCACCCCCCAAGGCUAAAUACUAGUCAGUGACCGAUAGCGUAUAGUACUGUGAAGGAAAGGUGAAAAGAACCCCGGGAGGGGAGUGAAAAAGAACCUGAAACCCUAUGUUUACAAACUGUGGAACACCGAAAGGUGAACCGCGUACUUUUUGUAGAACGGUCCGGCGAGUUACAUGUACAGGCGAGGUUAAGUAUUAAAGAUACGGAGCCGAAGGGAAACCAAGUCUUAAUAGGGCGAUAUUAGUCAGUAUGUGUAGACCCGAAACCGGGUGAUCUAUCCAUGUCCAGGUUGAAGUUCGCGUAAAAGUGAAUGGAGGACCGAACACACAUCCGUUGAAAAGGGUGGUGAUGAGGUGUGGAUAGGGGAGAAAUUCCAAUCGAACCCGGAGAUAGCUGGUUCUCCUCGAAAUAGUUUUAGGACUAGCCUUGUUUUAGUUUCAUGGAGGUAGAGCUCUGAAUUCUUAAGGGGGCGUCAAAGCUUACUAAGAGAUAUCAAACUGCGAAUGCCAUCGAAAUGAUGAACAGGAGUCAGACUGCACGAGAUAAGUUGGGUAGUCAAAAGGGAAAGAGCCCAGACCUACGGCUAAGGUCCCAAAGUGUGUGUUAAGUGGAAAAGGAUGUGGGAUUUCGAAGACAGCUAGGAUGUUGGCUUAGAAGCAGCCAUACAUUAAAAGAGUGCGUAACAGCUCACUAGUCGAGAGGUCCUGCGCCGAAAAUGUCCGGGGCUAAACACAACACCGAAGCCUGGGAAUGUAGUAAUACAUUGGUAGAGGAGCAUUCUUAGAGGCGUAGAAGCCAUACCGGAAGGAAUGGUGGAGUAAUAAGAAGAGAGAAUGCCGGAAUGAGUAGCGAGAAAGAGGUGAGAAUCCUCUUGGCCGAAUAUCUAAGGUUUCCUGAGUAAAGCUGAUCUACUCAGGGUAAGUCGGGGCCUAAGGCAAGGUCGAAAGACGUAGUCGAUGGAUAACAGGUACAGAUUCCUGUACUACAUAUAAUCAGAACUGUGGGGACACGGAGACUGAAACCGAACCCGGGAGGACAAAAACCGGGGCAAGCGAAGUACCUGUAUGGGAGGAAAAACCACCAUACAAGGGGAAAACGUGAUGCGUACCGAAAAUUAGUAGGGAAGUCGGUUAGGGAGCCGUCAAGAAAAGCCGCUAUUGUGUUAUAUGUACCCGUACCGCAAACCGACACAGGUAGAUGAGGAGAGAAUCCUAAGGCCGGCGGGAGAAGCAUUGUUAAGGAACUCGGCAAAAUGACCCCGUAACUUCGGGAGAAGGGGUGCCACUUUAAUAGAGUGGUCGCAGAAAAAAGGCUCAAGCAACUGUUUAGCAAAAACACAGGUCUAUGCGAAACCGCAAGGUGAAGUAUAUGGGCUGACGCCUGCCCGGUGCCGGAAGGUUAAGAGGAGAAGUCAGGAAACGAAGCUUUGAAUUGAAGCCCCGGUAAACGGCGGCCGUAACUAUAACGGUCCUAAGGUAGCGAAAUUCCUUGUCGGGUAAGUUCCGACCCGCACGAAAGGCGUAAUGAUUUGAGCGCUGUCUCAACAAUGCACCCGGUGAAAUUGAAGUACCAGUGAAGAUGCUGGUUACCCGCGCCAGGACGGAAAGACCCCAUGGAGCUUUACUCCAGUUUGGUACUGGGAUUCG
Molecule: ribosomal RNA, 2090 nt
Filed under: human metagenome
Description: bacterial LSU rRNA
Rfam family: Bacterial large subunit ribosomal RNA
Source: RNAcentral